CAUGUGGUUUUCUGUGUUUUUGCACAGGAAACCAUUAACUUCCUCUUGUACAGAAACAUUAUGAGAGACUAAAAAAAGAAAAGAAAAACAGGACAUAUCGCUUAACAUCCAAAUAAUAAUAUGAAUAACAGAAAUAAAGAAAUGGAGCUAGUUCACUCACUGGAUUUUGAUGUCUAUACCUCUAAUAUGAAAAACUUAAACGCUUUUAGCCCGUGUCUACAAGCUCUGAAGCCAUCUACUGUAUAUCAAUGGCAGCUCGUGGAGCCUCUCAAUAGUUCCCGGAAGUAGUAGCAAACCGAUGCCACACCGUAGAGAUGCAGCAGAACAAACCGUUUGCGAUGCACUAUUAAAAGAUUGCUCCUGCUGACUUGAGCCAACCAUUUUUGGUUCAACUCAACAACCUGAGCCCAAAAGGAUCCUCCACCACUCUUCACCGAUUCAACUCUAUGUAUCAUCUGCGCAUGCGGGUAUUCAUUGAGUUUUUCACAAGUUCAUCAAGCAACUGUGGUAAGAAUAUUUCAUCAAGCACGGUGAGUAAUGGCUUCUCCUGCUAUUGUUAUUUGCACCUCUUGUCACAUGUACAGUUUAUCUAUCUCUGUCGCCUACGAGGGAUUCACAUGUUAUAAAUGCAGGGAAAUAGUUAGGCUGACAGAGAAGAUUUCAGAAUUGGAGACACGCAUCCAAACUUUAAUUGAGGACAGUAAGAAUGUUAGGGCUCUAGGUACGGCUUUGGAUGCGUCUAGCUCAGGGAUUCCUGUACAUUGUUUGGUUCCGGCAACAGAGCCCUUGCAGCAGGGCAACUGGGUGACAGUGAGACAGCGUAGUCAUGGGUCAGAACACCACUAUUCUGUUCCGAUCAGGGCCGUUUGAAGGAAUUUGGGGGCCCCAAGCAAAAUGGACAUAGAGGGCUGUGCAGGAUAUCAGCUAUAAUUAUAGAGCUUUUGGUACUUUGUGCUUUAUAGCGGAAAAAUCAGCACUGAGAAGUGAUGCAUCUGUUGAUGUUGAGGAUGAAGUUGAUGGUGUAGCUGGGAAAUAAUUGAAACAAAAAUCUGAAAUUACCUGUGAAGUACGUUUUACCAUUUCACUGUUAGCAUAUUGAAAGAGGUCACUAUUACCAGCUCAGGGGUGUGUUAAAUUAACAACUAAGUUUCCUUUUGUAAGGGAAACAG
Molecule: long non-coding RNA, 1169 nt
Organism: Carassius auratus (goldfish)
Lineage: Eukaryota; Metazoa; Chordata; Actinopteri; Cypriniformes; Cyprinidae
Exons: 4
Source: RefSeq, a predicted model, not a curated record